UUCUCUCUCAAUUCUCUAUGAAACUCCUACAAACCCUAGCCGCCUCCAUCAAACUACAACCCUAAUACCUCCCUAAUCUAUGGCCUCCUGUGGUCAUUUGAAACAUGUACUAGCCUUCCAUGACUUCUGUGUGUUUGUUCCUAUGGUCUCAAGGCCAGAUAUUGAAAGAGCAUGGUGCAAUCCUUGUUCGAUUUCAGUUCAUGGUUGUUCUCCAGUCGUCUCUGACCUUUCUCCGCCCAGUCAUGGCCAUUCGACUCAAACCUUUGACUCUCGUGCUUAGAUGGAUGGUUUUCAAGGCCUUUCUCAUCACUUGGAGUUCUUCUGAAACCCUAAUCUCUAAGAUUAUUUCGAUUUCUUUCGGAUCUAUUUUAGAUCUAUGUUUUCUUUGAACUUCCA
Molecule: long non-coding RNA, 396 nt
Filed under: Nicotiana benthamiana
Lineage: Eukaryota; Viridiplantae; Streptophyta; Magnoliopsida; Solanales; Solanaceae
Description: long non-coding RNA (NBEN_LNC032174)
Source: RNAcentral